CUCCUACGGGAGGCAGCAGUGGGGAAUAUUGCACAAUGGGGGAAACCCUGAUGCAGCCAUGCCGCGUGUGUGAAGAAGGCCUUCGGGUUGUAAAGCACUUUCAGUAGGGAGGAAGGUAGUGUAGUUAACACCUGCACUACUUUGACGUUACCUACAGAAGAAGCACCGGCUAACUCCGUGCCAGCAGCCGCGGUAAUACGGAGGGUGCGAGCGUUAAUCGGAAUUACUGGGCGUAAAGCGCAUGCAGGCGGCCUGUUAAGUCAGAUGUGAAAGCCCGGGGCUUAACCUCGGAAUUGCAUUUGAAACUGGCAGGCUAGAGUCUUGUAGAGGGGGGUAAGAAUUUCAGGUGUAGCGGUGAAAUGCGUAGAGAUCUG
RNAcentral lists this ribosomal RNA (374 nucleotides) under uncultured bacterium. Its description in RNAcentral is "bacterial SSU rRNA". It matches the Rfam family "Bacterial small subunit ribosomal RNA", at positions 336 to 700 of the family's 1533-position model. The record is from RNAcentral.